RNAcentral lists this ribosomal RNA (491 nucleotides) under uncultured bacterium. RNAcentral's name for it is "partial 16S ribosomal RNA". It matches the Rfam family "Bacterial small subunit ribosomal RNA", at positions 29 to 507 of the family's 1533-position model. The record is from RNAcentral.
AUGAACGCUGGCUACAGGCUUAACACAUGCAAGUCGAGGGGAAACGGCAUUGAGUGCUUGCACUGAAUGGACGUCGACCGGCGCACGGGUGAGUAACGCGUAUCCAACCUUCCCGUUACUGCGGGAUAACCUGCCGAAAGGCAGACUAAUACCGCAUGUUCUUCGAUGACGGCAUCAGAUUCGAAGCAAAGAUCCGUCGGUAACGGAGGGGGAUGCGUCUGAUUAGCUAGUUGGCGGGGCGACGGCCCACCAAGGCGACGAUCAGUAGGGGUUCUGAGAGGAAGGUCCCCCACAUUGGAACUGAGACACGGUCCAAACUCCUACGGGAGGCAGCAGUGAGGAAUAUUGAUCAAUGGGCGGAAGCCUGAACCAGCCAAGUAGCGUGCAGGAUGACGGCCCUACGGGUUGUAAACUGCUUUUAUGCGGGGAUAAAGUGAGGGACGCGUCCCUUUUUGCAGGUACCGCAUGAAUAAGGACCGGCUAAUUCCGUG